Non-coding RNA from Camellia sinensis, 742 nucleotides. Lineage: Eukaryota; Viridiplantae; Streptophyta; Magnoliopsida; Ericales; Theaceae. The record is from RefSeq and is a predicted model, not a curated record.
CUUUGAAAUGGGAUGAAGUCAACUACAGACCACGAUGAGGGCACAAUGUGUGAUUUUCUGUGAAUCUGUUGCUAUAUACGGUGUUAUUGUGGCAAUUAUUCUACAAACAAAGUUGGAGAGUGUUCCCCCAUCACAAAUAUAUGAACCUGAAUCUCUUAGAGCUGGUUAUGCUAUCUUUGCCUCAGGGAUUAUUGUGGGUUUUGCAAACCAUGUCUGCGGGUUUGUUCCAUCUUUUAUCUCUUUCCAAAAUCACCUAACAAACAUAUAGCAGUCUCUUCUUCAUUUCUGUGAGUUCUAAUCUUCGUUUAUCAACUUUUGCAUGGUACAGGCUGUGUGGGAAUUAUUGGAAGCAGCUGUGCAUUAUCUGAUGCCCAGAACUCGUCACUUUUUGUGAAAUUCUCGUGAUUGAAAUCUUUGGUAGUGCCCUCGGGUUGUUUGGAGUAAUAGUCGGAAUAAUCAUGUCGACUCAAGCAACAUGGCCAAACAAAUCAGUUUAGUUUGGCUUUUUUUUUUCUUUUUUUCCUUUUGGUCAGUUGGGUGAUUCCUGUCACUAGUACCAACAGAACUAAUGUACGACAUGUUAUGUAUCUUCUUCUCUAUUGGUUUAGUAGUAGGUGAUUGAGUUCUGGUCUGAAAUGUUCUACUUGUUCCCUUUUUUCUAAUUUUAAGCUGUUUUGUUUAUGAUGGAUUAUAAAUACUGGAAGAGGUGAGGUGAGUUUAGGAUAUAUUUUCAUGGCUUAUU